GGCUUGUUUUAGGAUUCGCUGGGAAUUAUGAAGAUUUGUAAGCAUGUGGGAGUAGUCUUCCUUAACAACGUCGGGGUUUAUAAAUAAACGCUGAAGAAAACAAUGAUUAUGCAUUCUUAGCUGCAAGAAACAAUUCUUGUGCUAACUAUGCUUUCGCUUGCUAAUAUUAUAUAAGCGACAGAAUACUUGAAAUCUCCUAUGUUUUAAGUAUAUCUGACAGUCUAGUAGGAUAUAUUUAUCUUGUGCUACUCUAACAAGAAUAAAUGAAUAUAAUAGAGUGUAGUUAGUCUUUGGUUUGCCUAUUCGCUUAGGGCUAGCGAAAAUUAUGAAUAGACUAAACAUGUAGAAAGCAAGUUGGAUUGGUUUUCAUACGGGAGUUCGAAUCUCCCCAAGUCCACCA
This 400-nucleotide transfer-messenger RNA is filed under the name uncultured Anaeroplasma sp. It matches the Rfam family "transfer-messenger RNA". From Rfam's summary of the family: Bacterial tmRNA, also known as 10Sa RNA or SsrA, is named for its dual tRNA and mRNA-like properties. Its role is to liberate the mRNA from a stalled ribosome. The record is from RNAcentral. Lineage: Bacteria; Bacillati; Mycoplasmatota; Mollicutes; Anaeroplasmatales; Anaeroplasmataceae.